Non-coding RNA from Schistosoma margrebowiei, 46 nucleotides. The record is from Rfam. NCBI's taxonomy places the organism in Eukaryota, Metazoa, Platyhelminthes, Trematoda, Strigeidida, Schistosomatidae.
GCACUGCUGACGAGUCUCAUACUAGGACUAAAUGAUCAUCCAGUGC